Molecule: long non-coding RNA, 1986 nt
Organism: Mytilus californianus (California mussel)
Lineage: Eukaryota; Metazoa; Mollusca; Bivalvia; Mytilida; Mytilidae
Exons: 3
Source: RefSeq, a predicted model, not a curated record
CCGAUAAUAACGUUUCCUCGGUUCAUUCAAAAUAAUUGCAAGGAAAGACGAGUAGUCUCCCUUGGUUUGCCUAUUUUUAUAACCAGACAUUGACAGAUUACGUAAUACUUUUGUCUGUCUGGAUUUUUGAAGGAUCAAUAGAUAUAUUUGGAAAUGAAAAUAAUGAAAACAAAAGAAUAUGUUUUGGUGUAAUACGAAAAAAUUGGCAGGGUUUUAGAUGAUUAACUGGUAAAAUAUUGUCAACAUGGUAGUUUAAAGCCGUAGUUGUGCCAGAAGUCGUUAACAAGAGUUGUCUGUGAUCUUUCUAUGGACUGGCUUUGUGUUAUUGUUAAAAUUUACAUUUAACACAUGUUAGUACCCAGUCAGUGAUCGGACGAGGACUACAAAAGACCUAUUGCUUCCAUAUGUCUUCUGGUGAACACGAUGUGUUGUGCAAGUGAAACAAAUGGAAAAGAUAUACCAUAGUGACAUUCGAUGUUUGCAUUUAAGUCAUUGAAUACAUUGUAUUACAUCUUUCACAGUCGGUCAGGUACUAUGGAUGGGAAUUCACCUGUACCGACGAUUAGAAGUCGUCAAAGAUAUCAAGGCUUAUGAUUGAGUAUACCAGACGUUCAAUCAUCAACAUCAUAAGUGAGGCAUUACCUAACUUGUAAUGUUGAUGAUACCGUAUUGUAUUAGGGUCAGAACAUGCAUCUUACAACGUUUAUGUAUGAUGCAUCACAGUAUUUUUAGGAGACGGUUUUCACUAAACUGCUUCCAAUUUUCACGAGGACCCGAGUACCCAAUGCUCAUAGUUUGCCUUUUUAACGUUUUUGAUUCGAGCGACAUUGUUGAGUCUUUUGUAGACGAAACGCGCGUCGAGCGUACAAAAUUUUAAGCCUGAUAUCAAUGAUGAGUUUAUUUAAUGCUCAUUUUUUCUUUUGCUAUAUAAAGGCAAAAGUAAUAUAUCGCUGUUCAAUAGUCUUGUUCACUAUUGUUUUUUUUUUUCUUUCCAGCUUUCUUCUUUUGAGCAAUGAUUUUUAUUGUCCCUUAAUAUUUUCUUUUUCAAUACUGUCUUAGUAACUUUGUCAACUUUCACUUUUGAUGUUUUUUCCACGGUUUUAGUUUGUAACCCGGAUUUGUUUUCUCUUAAUCGAUUGGUGACUUUUGAACAGCGGUAUACUACUGUUGUCUUUAUUUGUCUAGUUGUCAGUUUUGUCUAGAUUAACAACAAGGAGAUUUGGUAUGAUUUUCAAUGAGACAACUACCCAAUUAAGGCCCCGUUAUCUACUUUCAUUAUUAUCUAGAUUGUUAUUUUCAGCCUUUGUUUAGGUUGUGUUGUCUACUUUCACAUUUUCUUUAAUCUCAUGUCUGCACACUGUUGUCUAACUUGCUUUGCUACAUUCUCUGCUUUCUAGUUGUUACAAAUAAUUGUUUGAUAUUUUUGUCUCAUCUCCGGAUUUAUUUUGUUUAAGGAUUAAAUCUAUUUUAAGUUAAUCAUCUUGAAUUUGCUAAUACUAUGCAAAAAAUCUCUUAUGUAAAUAAUGUAUUUCUUAAAGGCAUCAAAAAAUUAAUUUUGAGCGGAAACACAAUUGGAGUCUUUUUUUUUUUAUUUCAAACAUGAUAUAGUUCUACUCUUUCAAAACCAAUUUGCCAGCAUUGAUCAACGUAAACGAUAUUGAAAAGGCCAAUUUUCUUUUUUACCUAAAUAGAUGAAGGUCCUUAAAAUAUUCCAGGCUUAUCAUUUUGGUACACCAGACGCGUAUAAGUCAUGAUCUGAUACUGUUUCUUAAAAAAAAAUCGUACAGGCAAAAUGAAUUACAAUUAAAGUUGCCUUUCCAUGAAGUUCGUUGAAUAAAGUCAAUCAUGGGAAAAAAUUAAAUUAUUUAACAUAUGUAUAUACAUUGAUCAGACUUAUCUAAAAUAUUAUAUGUAAAUAGCAUGUUUAACAUGAGGAGCACAUGUUGUGUUUCAUGAAUAAAGAUAUUCCAGUAUUGCAUAAAUGCA